Molecule: long non-coding RNA, 505 nt
Organism: Oncorhynchus keta (chum salmon)
Lineage: Eukaryota; Metazoa; Chordata; Actinopteri; Salmoniformes; Salmonidae
Exons: 4
Source: RefSeq, a predicted model, not a curated record
ACUGGACAGACAGGACAGACACACAGGUAAGACUGGACAGACAGGACAGACACACAGGUAAGACUGGACAGACAGGACAGACACACAGGUAAGACUGGACAGACAGGACAGACACACAGGUAAGACUGGACAGACAGGACAGACACACAGGUAAGACUGGACAGACAGGACAGACACACAGGUAAGACUGGACAGACAGGACAGACACACAGGUAAGACUGGACAGACAGGACAGACACACAGGUAAGACUGGACAGACAGGACAGACACACAGGUAAGACUGGACAGACAGGACAGACACACAGGUAAGACUGGACAGACAGGACAGACACACAGGUAAGACCGGACAGACAGGACAGACUGGACAGACUGGACAGACAGACAGGACAGACUGGACAGACUGGACAGACAGACAGGACAGACUGGACAGACAGACAGGACAGACUGGACAGACAGGACAGACAGACAGGACAGACAGGACAGACAGACAGGACAGACAGACCGG